Callithrix jacchus (white-tufted-ear marmoset) is the source of this 451-nucleotide non-coding RNA. The record is from RefSeq and is a predicted model, not a curated record. Lineage: Eukaryota; Metazoa; Chordata; Mammalia; Primates; Cebidae.
AGUCCUUUGGCAUCAACACAGAGAACAGCCAAAGGGCUGAUAGGAGCUUACCAUUUGAACUUUUGGCCAAAUCCAUCCUGGGAAGAGUGGCCUGGAUUCCAGAGUCUAGUGGCUUCACUGAACAACUGCCAGGAAGAAAGAUUGCUGGCCAUACUUAGGAGACUGAAUUGGAGAAAAGCCAUACUGGAGGCCUGGAGACCUCUUAAGAUGCCAUAGGAGUAAUCUAUGGUAGAGAUGUUGGUGAUCUGAACUGAGUCACAUAUGUUGAGGGAUGAGAACUGAGGCACUUGAGAGGUUGUUACUUGUCCAGAGUCAUGCAGCUGGAUAAUGUGAGAGUCUGCCUGCAGUUUCAGGGUCAAUGUUUCCAAAAGAUGACUAAGAACACACAUCUGGCGUCUGUACGUGCAAACUCGAGCGAUAAAGUACUGAAGAUGCGCCACUCAAAAACAAC